This 922-nucleotide ribosomal RNA is filed under the name uncultured bacterium. RNAcentral's name for it is "bacterial SSU rRNA". It matches the Rfam family "Bacterial small subunit ribosomal RNA", at positions 46 to 944 of the family's 1533-position model. The record is from RNAcentral.
GGCCUANGAAUGCGAGAUCGCACGGGAANUCGCAGGCUUCUACACUUCGGUGUAUCCUGCGUCAUCUAGAUGGCAAACGGGUGAGUACCACGUGGGUUAACGUACCUCCAGGACGAGGAUAACAGGGCGAAAGCCCUGCUAAUACUCGACAGGCUGCCCCUGCAUUAGUAGGGACCAGUAAAGGCUACGGCGCCUGGAGAUCGGCCCGCGNUCCAUUAGCUAGUUGGUGAGGUAACGGCUCACCAAGGCGACAAUGGGUAGCUGGUCUGAGAGGAUGAUCANCCACACUGGAACUGAGAUAUGGUCCAGACUCCUACGGGAGUUAGCAUCCGGGAAUCUUGCACAAUGGGCGCAAGCCUGAUGCAGCGACGCCGCGUGGGCGAUGAAGGUCUGCGGAUCGUAAAGCCCUGUCUGGAGGGAAGACAUCCGACUGUACCUCCAGAGGAAGCCCCGGCUAACUACGUGCCAGCAGCCGCGGNAAAACGUAGGGGGCUAGCGUUGUCCGGAAUUACUGGGCGUAAAGGGCACGCAGGCGGUCUGNAAAGCGGUGAGUGCAAUCCCGAGGCUUAACCUCGAAACUGCUUGCCGAACUAUCAGACUAGAGCAUGGGAGAGGACAGUGUAAUUCCCAGUGUAGCGGUGNAAUGCGUAAAUAUUGGGAGGAACACCAGUGGCGAAGGCUGCUGUCUGGAACAUUGCUGACGCUGAGGUGCGAAAGCCCAGGGGGAGCGAACGGGNAUUAGAUACCCCGGUAGUCCUGGCUGUAAACGAUGCUCACUAGGUGUUACCGGCAUUAAACCCCGGNUAGUGNUGUUCUGCUAACGCGUUUAAGUGAGCCCCCCUGGGGGAGUACGGCCCGCAAGGCUAAAAACUUCAAAUGGAAUUUGACGGGGGCCCCCCAACAAGCGGGGGGAAGCAUGUGG